Molecule: long non-coding RNA, 360 nt
Organism: Mangifera indica (mango)
Lineage: Eukaryota; Viridiplantae; Streptophyta; Magnoliopsida; Sapindales; Anacardiaceae
Exons: 3
Source: RefSeq, a predicted model, not a curated record
AAAAGAAGGAAAGGGAAAGGAAGAGAAAAGGGAUUUAUAGAAAAAGGGAAUAGGGUGAAGAAGAAGGGAGAUUAGCAAGAGAUUUCAACUCUGAUUUAGAGGCUACCCAAAUCAGACAUCCUCCAGAUCGUGUUGGAUAGUGUUUCGUUGGGUUGUGCCACGGUGUAGCAUAUUUAGUGUUGGAUAUAGACUUUUUGUUGUUUUUUUUUUUUAUAAGCUUGUGAAAUGUUGAAAGGCCGGAGGCCUAAUUACAAUAUUCUCAUGACUUUUGAAAUGAGUAAAGAUGUAAAUUAUUUUGUCAUGUAUAUGAUAAGGCCGGAGGCCUGAUUACAGGUUUAUUUUAUGAUUUCUUGGCUUUAA